Molecule: long non-coding RNA, 1069 nt
Organism: Centrocercus urophasianus (Greater sage-grouse)
Lineage: Eukaryota; Metazoa; Chordata; Aves; Galliformes; Phasianidae
Exons: 3
Source: RefSeq, a predicted model, not a curated record
CGCGUGCACUAGCAUGGGCUGAGUGCCAGGUACAUACAGAAAACUGCUCUUUAGAGCCUUGUCUGAGGUCCUCAGAUGAAUCAGAAUCGACAGGGGGACCUCAUGGCAAAGGUCGUGUAUGGGGCUAUACAGCAAGCACACUAGCCAGCAGGCUGAGUGGCGAAAACACGCAACUUCAGGCAGAAACUGCUUGGUGGUGCCAAGGCAGCCUCCCUGGAGCCUGUGACGCGUGUCCCAUAGACCCAGCGAUCAGAGGAAAGGACCUAGAGAAGUGUCUCCGAGCAUCUUCCUGCACUGGGGCAGGACCCCUUAUCCUCCAUGACGUUUUAUCAACCCUUUGCUCAUCACUAAUCAGGGUACUGCCUGGUAACGGGAUUGCACAGGAAGAACUGGAGAGCUGAACACACACCGUGUGGCUGUGUCCUGAGAACCAACAAAGAGCCCCAAGCAUGCUACAUAGAUGGGCAAAAUUUUCACCUUCCUGCUGAGGCCUUGGGAGAUUCAGCUGGUCAGUGGGAGGUUUGCUCCUGUCCUGAAUGGCUGCCCCUGUGAUUACAUCCCAUGAAGAAGCACUGGGCUCCUAAGCACUUCCAAGCUGUUAAUUCCUGAAUUUUAUUAUCAAGAGCCAGAUGAAACAUCUGAAAGCUGAUUGCACCAACACUUCACUCCUGCCUCCACCAGCAGCCAGCCCAUGGGGCUGCUCCGCAGUAUUUUAUGUAAAACUCAGAUUGCCAAAGUGAUGAACAACUUGGGAGGGCCGUGGAAAAACUCAUCUACUCCCCUUCUCUCUGUGAAGACAAAUGCUUCUUUCUUGCCUAGGAAGCCCAUCACCAUUUUUUUCUGCAAGUGCCUUCAUCCCCGCUCCCCUCCCCCAAUCUUUUUAGUCCUCUGCCCUGCACUAUGUACUGAAUAAAAGUUAGUGUUUUCCCAUUUGGAAAUGGCCCCUUCUCUGCCGCCCUUAUACUCGGGGAAAUCUCACAAAUGUUUCAGCACUACUUCCAGCAAGGACUGGCCCCUUCUGUUGCUAAUUAGGGAGCUAAGAGGUUCCCCCAGGCACUUCCCAGUGAAA